AGAGUUUGAUCAUGGCUCAGGAUGAACGCUGGCGGUAUGCCUUAUACAUGCAAGUCGUACGAGAGUUUUUAACUCUAGUGGCGGACGGGUGAGUAACACGUAAGAAUUUGCCUUUAGGAGGGGGACAACAACUGGAAACGGUUGCUAAUACCCCAUAUGCUUUCGAGUGAAAUGGAUUUCCGCCUAAAGAGAAGCUUGCGGCUGAUUAGCUUGUUGGUAGGGUAAUGGCCUACCAAGGCGACGAUCAGUAUCUGGUUUGAGAGGACGAUCAGACACACUGGAACUGAGACACGGUCCAGACUCCUACGGGAGGCAGCAGUAGGGAAUUUUCCGCAAUGGGCGAAAGCCUGACGGAGCAAUACCGCGUGAGGGAUGACUGCCUAUGGGUUGUAAACCUCUUUUUUCAGGGAGGAAUAAAUGACGUGUACCUGAAGAAUAAGCAUCGGCUAACUCCGUGCCAGCAGCCGCGGUAAGACGGAGGAUGCAAGUGUUAUCCGGAAUCACUGGGCGUAAAGCGUCUGUAGGUGGCUCGACAAGUCAACUGUUAAAUCUUGAAGCUCAACUUCGAAAUCGCAGUCGAAACUAUCGAACUAGAGUAUAGUAGAGGUAAAGGGAAUUUCCAGUGGAGCGGUGAAAUGCGUAGAGAUUGGAAAGAACACCGAUGGCGAAGGCACUUUACUGGGCUAUUACUGACACUCAGAGACGAAAGCUAGGGUAGCAAAUGGGAUUAGAUACCCCAGUAGUCCUAGCCGUAAACAAUGGAUACUAGGUGUUGAACAGAUCGACCUGUGCAGUA
RNAcentral lists this ribosomal RNA (796 nucleotides) under uncultured bacterium. RNAcentral describes it as "bacterial SSU rRNA". It matches the Rfam family "Bacterial small subunit ribosomal RNA", at positions 8 to 845 of the family's 1533-position model. The record is from RNAcentral.